GGUAGGCCGCCAUUGUAAAUAAGAAUGUGUUCUUAAUAACUUACUUGCCUAGUUAAAUAAAACAUUUGACACAAUAAUUGUUAGCAAAGGUGUCCGCUAGAGAUGGCGUGCAGGAGCUUUCAGAGAUUUGUGGUUUUGCAUGAUGUUUACUUUUAUGCUAAUUAGCAUUUUCGAAUCAGAGUAAAUACAGCCGAAUAUAUUGAUAAAAGUCACCUUGUCCGAGAGCGCUUUAAAUGGUUAUCAAAACGUCACCUCCACUAUUCUUUCGCAAUUCAUUUUGCUCAUAGGGAUGGCUGAACGAACCAGAGGUAACUCAUUUCCGGGUUGUAGGACUCAAAGCUGGCGAGUUCUGUUGCUCGGCAAUAUUGCCUCAAAGAAUUAUCAUGGCCUUUAUGUAUGCCGUUGACCAAGCAUGUUAGCGUUGCAAUCUGACUUUGUUGCCUUAUUAAGGCCAUGUUGCAAGUUAAAUUUGCCAAUAUAAAUAGAUUAUACACCAAUUGUAGAUGGCAAUAAAAAGAUAAAUUGCCCUGGCUGCCAAAGAAAGAACUGAGAAGGUAAGUAACGCCCCCUCAAGUGCAUGCCGCAGCAUGUGAUUUUGCCUGUGACGCUCAUUAAGUGAAAACGAGCUGAAUGUGGACAACAUCUGGUGAAGAGGCUAGUUCUACAAACAAGUGGCUAUUACUCCUCGGCCUGAAGUCAUAAUAUAAAACGAACAUGAUCUGCUUGAAGAUGAAGAGGGAGUUGGAUCACUAGAAAGCAGCAUACAGACUGAUCAGGGCCCGUAUUCACAAAGCAUCUCAGAGUAGGAGUACUGAUUUUAGGAUCAGUUUUGCCUUUAAUGUAAGGGGAGCUGGUCCUAGAUCACUGUUCCUACUCUGAAGACGCUUUGUGAAUACAGGCCCGGGAAGAAAGCUGUUGCCCAAUACCUUGCACAACAGUCUUUCACCACAGAACCCCAGAGGCCACUGCAUGCUGUGAAAUGGGCUUGGAUGGUAACACAUCUUCAAGCUUCCUGACUGAAUAUUGGGGUCUUCAGUGGUUCUGGAAGCAAGGGCUUUACCUGGGAGUACAGCAACAGUCUCGCAGCCAUUCUGUCAACAUGUAUAGUACGCAGGCCACUGCAUGCUGUGAAAUGGGCUUGGAUGGUAACACAUCUUCAAGCUUCCUGACUGAAUAUUGGGGUCUUCAGUGGUUCUGGAAGCAAGGGCUUUACCUGGGAGUACAGCAACAGUCUCGCAGCCAUUCUGUCAACAUGUAUAGUACGCAGGCCACUGCAUGCUGUGAAAUGGGCUUGGAUGGUAACACAUCUUCAAGCUUCCUGACUGAAUAUUGGGGUCUUCAGUGGUUCUGGAAGCAAGGGCUUUACCUGGGAGUACAGCAACAGUCUCGCAGCCAUUCUGUCAACAUGUAUAGUACGGAACCCACUCAAACUCAUAUAAACUGCUACGGACGCCAGCACUGAUUUAUAUUUACUUUGUCCCAUUCUUUAAUCUUGUUUGAGAUAUAUAUUUUAGUUGAGACACCUGUAUGAGAGAGAUAAUUAAAAAUGUAUUCACUUUAAAUCUCAAGCUCUACGUGUAUUUGUCUUGAUGUUUAACUUAUCACAGGAGUUAGUACAAAUU
Salvelinus sp. IW2-2015 is the source of this 1622-nucleotide long non-coding RNA. RefSeq lists it as uncharacterized. The record is from RefSeq and is a predicted model, not a curated record. NCBI's taxonomy places the organism in Eukaryota, Metazoa, Chordata, Actinopteri, Salmoniformes, Salmonidae.